GUUGAAAUGCCUUUAUUUUUCUUUUCACUUCAAAAUAACCGAUGAGGAUACACGGUAGGACACAUGGCGAAAAACAGACAAGAAAUCGCAUACAACAGGCAUGAAAGAGAUGUAAGGAUUCCUCUUAAUACCAAAUAUAUAACGUACAGACAUUUUUAACUCCAUCACUUUUACCUCCAUUACCUCAGGCCUUUUGGGAGGGGUCAGGGGUGACAUCAUGUUAAUAUCAUUACGCCCCCCUUCUCUUUCCUUUUUUACUUCAAUUGUAUUCUAACAUGAGCCUUCUUUUUUUCAGGGCGUUGUUUUCAUAAGUUCUGCUUGUAUGUUCGGUUCUUGAAAAGUUGGCUGCACACUCUGAUGUUGCCGUAUUUGCCUACGUUUUUUUUCAUCAAAUUUGGGUUUUUGUGUUUUGUGUGGUCUUUAACCACUUUCUGCAUCUAUCGGGGUCUCUGGUAACAUUCAAUGUUAUUUGUUUCGUGGACCUCAUCUGAUAAUGAGGCUAGAAAUUCAUUCUCAGCAAAAGGAAAAUAGAAGAAUGAAGGAAUCUUUUUCACGAAAUCGAAAGUUUUCCGGGACAAUUAACUUUUCAAACUCAUUUUCCAUGAUUGGACAAUGGGACUAAACUGUUUUUGCAGGAUACAUGUAAACCCUGAGUUUAUAUUUUAAUGUAUUGUUAAAAAGAGCUAGUCUAAGAAAUCUAUGCCUGCCAUCGUUGGAUGCAUUCAGAACUACAGAUUUACACAUUGGGUUAUGUUUUGUCCAUGAGGUUCAUAUUUAGUUUGCAGUUUCUCAAAAUGGUAGCCAAUGGCAACCUUAGAGCCUCAAAGAACAAAAAAUAUUUAACCAAUGUACAUUUUAAAUUAUUCUAAAACUAAAUGUUGGUCUUUUCUCUUGUUUACCAACUGAAAUAUGUCCAAUUCCUGAAAUCUUGGAAAUAAAUAACAAAUAUGCAGUAUGUGUCAAAACAAUUUGCUUGUUUGGAUAUUUUCAUCAAUGAAGAAGUUCAGGUAAACUUUGUGUGAUGUUUGUCCAGCAGGUGGCAGUCUGGAGUUAACAACACAGGGCAGUGGUGCUGCUGUGUGACCAUGUUUCAGGAAAUGAGAUCAUUUGUUUUAUAUUACAAAUCCUCUCCUCCUGCACGCCUUACAGAUAUUUGUGUAAAAGUUUACGUUUUUGGUCUAAAUGAGCUGGUUAGUUACUAUACUUCUAGAAAUAAUCUUCAAAAGGCAUCUUUGUUGUUUAAAGAUUUUAAUGGCAUUGAGUUGCAUGACAAAGAAACUCCACAUGGUUAAGUUGUUGGAUUGCCCAAAGGCUCUCUAUUUCUUCAAGUGACCCAGGCUGUAUAGCUGACCAGGCUGAAGGGGAGGAAGGCCCGCGGAACCAGAAUCAGGACUAAGAGGAGAAGACUGUCUACAGUACACGAAAAGCAACUCAAAAUGAAAGUAGCGUUAAAAGACUUGGUUCAAGAAAAUGUACUUAAAAGAUAAAGAUAAAGAGUGAUGGGAUUUUGACACAAAAUAUUUUGUUUUUCAGUUGUGUUUCUCUCUCUCUCUCACACACAACAACAACAAAAGUGUGUGUGUGUGUGUGUAAGUUCCUUUUUUUCUCAGAAACAACUCCCACAACCGACCAACCAAACUUUUAAAGGAAACAGGUUGAAAUACACAACCUUUAUCAACGCACUGCACCGGUCUUCACCUGUUUAACUCACAUUUGUUCAAGUAAAAUAAAAAGAGUUUGCACACAGAGAUAUUCAGACAUAUAUAUUUUUGUUAGGACGCCGUUUGAUGUUCACUUUAAAAACUGUUCUUAAAAAGUAGGGGGCUUUGUAAGGCCACAUUGUUUUAUUUAUACUUUUUUUCUUUGAAAUACCCAUAAUGUAUUUUGAGACUUUUGUCUGUGCCCAGCGAUUCAUAAAUAUGUCCUAUUCACUUAUGCUUAUUGCAAUCGUACAGCUCACAGCUUUUAUUGAGUUUGAGACUCAUCUUGAAACUAAUGAUUGAAACAAAAAAGUGUGGAUGUGAGGGAUUAAAUAAAGCUAAAGGUGUUGGUGAUCCUGGGACUGUUUUCAGCUACUUGAGGAUCUGAAAACGAAGACAUUUCUCUUGUAUUGAAAUUGAAUAAUCUUGUGGGGUGUUAAGAUAACAUGUUGUUUGCGGUUACAUUUCAAAACUCAUCCCCCACUGUGGCUGCUUCACAGUCCACACACUCAUUUUCCAUUAUUAGUCAUACGUUUCCGUCAUGGUCUGCCUCCCCUUUCACUUCCAGCAACUGCAGUCGUAUAUCACUUAAACUGGAGCCAAUGACAAACCAAAUAGGUUCAGAAUACCUACAAAUAAGAACAUUUGAGCAGAUGUAUUUAACGCUCUUACAGUUGCAUUUGAAACAAUGAAUCUACAAGGGAGUUGUCUUACCAGACCUCUAAAAAAACUGAUAUUUUAAUCAAACAUGUUUCAAGUGUCCAAUCCACAGGCAUGGCCAACAUGAAUCCAACUAACACUGGGUUCUCUGGUCUGGUUUCUCGACAGCGCGGAGGAAAAAGUAGUCCCCACGCUGCCCUGGGAUUUUAGGCUGUGUAGUUUUCGGUUUUACGGACUGGGGGUCUUUAACAACAUUUGGCGACAAAGGGAAAUGUUUAGGUCAUCUAUGCUGCCGUAUUUACGGUCUCAAAUACACAUUUUAGUUUGCACUUUUUAGGCACCACAACAUUGCAGCAUCGCUAAGUCGAGCUGUCAGAUGCGGCAUUAAGAAGAAGCGUGUUACUGCAGACCUGCAGAGGAAAACCAUUUUAGAAUAAACUGCUUCACGAGCUUUGAUGACCAUUUGAGUUUGUUACAAAAAUACUUAAUAUCAAAACCGAGGUGCUUUAAUCCCAAUCAUACGUUUGACAGCUGUGGCUUUCAGCCAAAACUCACUAGUUCAAGAGCUAGUUCGCGACGUCUGCGUCGCAUCGUAGUUUCUUUUCCUCUUUGAAUCGCCUCCACCUGGUGAAGCUGUAGGAGAUGUUUAUCCUCGUUUUCACUCGCAGGCGGUCGCUUUCCUUUCUGGCUCGCAAACCUUCUUCGGAUCGUCGUGCUGGUUUCGAUUUUCUCGCCUCCGGGGCGGAAGUGUGAUGAAUGUUUUUGUUGAAGGGGUUUGUUGCUUUCCGCCGCUGUUUAGCCAUGUAGGCAGCCGCUCCUCGUUUGUGUGUUUGUUUAAUAAAAGGAUGCUGGUCUAAAUAACAACAAGUUACACCUGGAUUGUUUUCAAAUACCUGCCUGAUAUCCGCCAACCAUUUCCAGCCCUUCAGAAUAAAAGCAUAGUCGCUACAAACAUUAACAAGUCAGCUGUGAUCUCAUUUCUUAUUUUUUUGUUACGUCACGUAAGUACUGAAUCAUUAUUUUGUUGCCUG
This is a long non-coding RNA of Gasterosteus aculeatus aculeatus (three-spined stickleback), 3391 nucleotides long. The record is from Ensembl. NCBI's taxonomy places the organism in Eukaryota, Metazoa, Chordata, Actinopteri, Perciformes, Gasterosteidae.